Molecule: ribosomal RNA, 504 nt
Filed under: Troides oblongomaculatus aff. papuensis Tr8-09a
Lineage: Eukaryota; Metazoa; Arthropoda; Insecta; Lepidoptera; Papilionidae
Description: partial 16S ribosomal RNA
Source: RNAcentral
UUUUUGUGUUUAAUAUAAAGUCUAAUCUGCCCACUGAUAAUUUAUUAAAGGGCUGCAGUAUUUUGACUGUACAAAGGUAGCAUAAUCAUUUGUCUCUUAAUUGGUGACUAGUAUGAAAGAUUGGAUGAAAUAUAGACUGUCUCAUUAUAAUGAAUAAAAUUUAAUUUUUUAGUAAAAAAGCUAAAAUAGUUUUAAAAGACGAGAAGACCCUAUAGAGUUUAAUAAUUAUUUUUAUAUAGAAUAAAAUGUAAAAAUUUAAAUUUAAAUGAAAUUAAUUAUUUUGUUGGGGUGAUAGAAAAAUAAAAUUAACUUUUUUUAAAGAUAUACAUUAAUAAAUGAAUAAGUGAUCCAUUAAUAAUGAUUAUAAGAAAAAAUUACCUUAGGGAUAACAGCGUAAUUUUUUUUUUUAGGCCAAAUAAGAAAAAGAGUUUGCGACCCCGAUGUUGGAUUAAGAUAAAAUUUAAAUGUAAAAGUUUAAAGUUUUGAUCUGUUCGAUCAUUAAAA